AUCAUUAGUGAUUAAACUGUUGCCCUCUGUGCUGGCUCUGCAAGUGCACGUCGGUGACUUUCAUUCCAAUACCCUUGUGAACCUUUGGCCUCUUGCUAGCUUCGGCUGGCAGAGGAUUCUACAUACAAACUCGCAUGUAAUGAAACUCUUGUUGUGCACAAGCACUACUAUAUACAACUUUCAACAACGGAUCUCUUGGCUCUCGCAUCGAUGAAGAACGCAGCGAAAUGCGAUAAGUAAUGUGAAUUGCAGAAUUCAGUGAAUCAUCGAAUCUUUGAACGCACCUUGCACCCUUUGGCAUUCUGAAGGGUAUGCUCGUUUGAGUGUCAUUGUACUCUCACACUUCCGAUCUUGCAUUGGGAGCGGUGGACUUGGGUUUGCUGCCUUACCGUAGCUUACCUCAAAUGUGUUAGUGCAACUCUUGGUUGGACAUAGUACGGCGUGAUAAGUAUCUUCGCCGGUGCCUCGCAAUUGCGAGGGUGGCCGAUCGGGAUGUUGUGCUCCAAACCGUCUUCGGACAAUCUCUGACAACUUGACCUCAAAUCGAGUAAGACUACCCGCUGAACUUAAGCAUAUCAAUA
Molecule: ribosomal RNA, 581 nt
Filed under: uncultured Sebacina
Lineage: Eukaryota; Fungi; Basidiomycota; Agaricomycetes; Sebacinales; Sebacinaceae
Description: eukaryotic LSU rRNA
Rfam family: 5.8S ribosomal RNA (bases 176-329)
Source: RNAcentral